This 13386-nucleotide long non-coding RNA is filed under the name Salmo salar (Atlantic salmon). Its description in RNAcentral is "lncRNA (ENSSSAG00000120063.1)". The record is from RNAcentral. Lineage: Eukaryota; Metazoa; Chordata; Actinopteri; Salmoniformes; Salmonidae.
CGUCUGACAAUAGUCAGAGUAAGACGCUUUUUCUUGUCCCCUUCAAACUCUGACCAUAGACUAUAGGCCUAAUAGGGGCAGAGAAUGCUUUAAAAAGUAAUUGACAAAGCGGUUUAAGCAGGAUGGAGUGUUUGUACAGUAGAACGCUUUUAUCAGCGUGAAACACUCACAGGAAUUCCGGUUUGGGAUUGUCCAUCCAAUUCCUGCGUUCCACAGGAAGCUCUGGAUAAAAAGCAACUGAAAAACGCCCAAAGGCAUUUCAUUUCUCUCCUGUCGGUUCACGGGGAGCAUCUAAACAUUAACCGUUGAGGUUUUAUUCUAAGAAAAAACCGUGGGGACGAGCUAAAAAUAAAUUGCAACGAUGGAAGAGUCCACUAAACUGGCUGUCAAGUGGUUGGAGUUGGUUCCCAUGGCAGCAUCUGCUCAGCGUGCGCGAGACGCAGCACCACAUGACCCCAUACUGAGGGGGUAGUUGACAUCCUCCUCCUAGAAGUCUAAAACAAGGGGCUCUAACAUCAGAGAGAGACACAGCCACAGCCCUUCUCCCCUUCCCCUCAUCCUCCUUUCUUCUCCCAUUGGACACAGAGAGAGCGAGGGAAAGAGCGAGGGAAAGUGAGAAAGAAGAGGGAGACAUGUAUCAAACACUCCUCCUCUCCUCCUCGCUCUUCAUCCUCCAUGUGACGGCCACUCCACAGUUCCACGGUCACCACGGGAGGAGGGUGUGUGGCAGAGAUAUUCAUCACAGCAGUGUCAUCACGACGACAGAGUCGUUCGUCCAGCCCGUUCACAAACCCUACAUCACCCUGUGUCAGGGGCACCGCCUCUGUAGCACCUACAAGUAAGUGACACAGCCAUGACUCUCCUGACCACUACUGUUGCUAUCACUGUCAAUAUCUCUAAUGCUAUCAAUGUCAAUAUCGCUAUCGCUGCCAAUAUCUCUUGAUAGCUCUAUCGCUGUCAAUAUCUCUAUUGCUAUCACUGUCAAUAUCGCAGUCGAUAUCGCUAUCACUGUCAAUAUCUCUAUCGCUAUCAAUAUCGUGAUCGCUACUACUGUCAGUAUCGCUAUCGUUGUCAAUAUCACUGUCAAUAUCGCUGUCACUAUCGCUGUCGAUAUCGCUAACAAUAUCACUAUCGCUGUUAAUAUUGCUAUCACUGUCAAUAUCACUCAAUAUCGCUAUCACUGUCAAUAUCUCUAUCGCUGUCAAUAUCUCGAUUGCUACUACUGUCAAUAUCGCUAUCGUUGUCAAUAUCGCUGUCACUAUCGCUGUUAAUAUUGCAAUCACUCAAUAUCGCUAUCACUGUCACUAUCGCUGUCAAUAUCUCGAUCGCUACUACUGUCAAUAUCGCUAUCGCUGUCAAUAUCUCGAUCGCUACUACUGUCAAUAUUGCUAUCGUUGUCAAUAUCGCUGUUAAUAUUGCUAUCACUCAAUAUCGCUAUCACUGUCACUAUCGCUGUCAAUAUCUCUAUAAUUGUCAAUAUUUCUAUCGUUAUCACUAUCAUUGUCAAUAUCUCUAUCACUAUCACGAUAACUGUCAAUAUUUCUAUCACUGUCAAUAUCUCUAUCGUUAUCAAUAUCACUAUCACUGUCAAUAUCACUAUCAUUGUCAAUUUCUCUGUCGCUAUCACUGUCAAUAUCUCUAUUGCUGUCAAUAUCUUGAUCACUGUCAAUAUCUUGAUCACUGUCAAUAUCUCGAUCGCUGUCAAUAUUUCUAUUGCUGUCAAUAUCUCUAUCAAUAUCGCUAUCGCUGUCAAUAUCGCUAUCACUGUCAAUAUCUCUAUCGCUAUCAUUGUAAAUAAUGCUAUUACUGUCAAUAUCUCUAUCGCUAUUACUGUCAAUAUCGCUAUCGACAUCGCUAUCACUGUCCAUAUCUCUAUCGCUGUCAAUAUCUCUAUCGCUACCACUGUCGAUAUCGUUGUCAAUAUCUCUUUCGCUAUCACUGUCACUAUCGCUAUCACUGUCAAUAUCGCUGUCAAUAUUGCUAUCGCUGUCAAUAUUGCUAUCGCUGUCAAUAUUGCUAUCGCUGUCAAUAUUGCUAUCGCUGUCAUUAUCGCUAUCGCUGUCAAUAUCACUGUCACUAUCUCUAUCGCUCUCAAUAUUUCUAUCGUUAUCACUAUCAUAUCUCUCACGAUCACUGUCAAUAUCGCGAUCACUGUCAAUAUUUCUAUCGCUGUCAAUAUCUCUAUCGUUAUCAAUGUCGCUAUCGCAGUCAAUAUCUCUAUUGCUAUCACUGUCAAUAUCAAUGUUGUUAUCGCAGUCAAUAUCUAUAUUGCUAUCACUGUCAAUAUCAAUGUUGUUAUCGCAGUCAAUAUCUCUAUUGCUAUCACUGUCAAUAUCGCUACCAAUAUCGCUAUCGCUAUCAAUAUUUCUAUCACUGUCAAUAUUUCUAUCACUGUCAAUAUUUCUAUUGCUGUCAAUAUCGCUGUCAAUAUCGCUAUCGCUGUCAAUAUCACUACCAAUAUCUCUAUCGCUAUCACUGUAAAUAAUGCUAUCACUGUCAAUAUCGCUAUUACUGUCAAUAUCUCUAUCGCUAUCACUGUCAAUAUCUAUCACUGUCAAUAUCACUUUCACUGUCGCUGUCAAUAUUUCUAUCGCUGUCAAUAUUUCUAUCGCUGUCAAUAUCUCUAUUGUAUCAAUAUCACUAUCAUUGUCUCUAUCACUGUCAAUAUCACUAUCAUUGUCAAUUUCUCUGUCACAAUCACUAUCAAUAUCUCUAUCACUGUCAAUAUCUAUCACUGUCAAUAUCACUGUCAAUAUCACUUUCACUGUCGCUGUCAAUAUUUCUAUCGCUGUCAAUAUUUCUAUCGCUGUCAAUAUCUCUCUUGUAUCAAUAUCACUAUCAUUGUCUCUAUCACUGUCAAUAUCACUAUCAUUGUCAAUUUCUCUGUCACAAUCACUAUCAAUAUCUCUAUCACUGUCAAUGUCGCGAUCACUGUCAAUAUUUCUAUCGCUGUCAAUAUCUCUAUCGUUAUCAAUAACGCUAUCGUAGUCAAUAUCUCUAUCGCUAUCACUGUCAAUAUCGCUAUCGCUAUCACUGUCUAUUGCUGUCAAUAUCGCUAUCACUGUCAAUAUCACUACCAAUAUCACUGUCAAUAUCGCUAUCACUGUCAAUAUCACUACCAAUAUCACUGUCAAUAUCGCUAUCACUGUCAAUAUCACUACCAAUAUCACUGUCAAUAUCGCUAUCACUGUCAAUAUCACUACCAAUAUCACUGUCAAUAUCGCUAUCACUGUCAAUAUCACUACCAAUAUCACUGUCAAUAUCGCUAUCACUGUCAAUAUCACUACCAAUAUCACUGUCAAUAUCGCGAUCACUGUCAAUAUCUCUAUAACUGUCAAUAUUUAUAUCGCUGUCAAUAUCGCUAUCACUGUCAAUAUUUAUAUCGCUGUCAAUAUCUCUAUCGCUAUCACUGUCAAUAUUGCUAUCACUGUAAAUAAUGCAAUCGCUGUCAAUAUCUCUAUCGCUAUUACUGUCAAUAUCUCUAUCGCUAUCAACAUUGCUAUCACUGUCCAUAUCGCUAUCACUGUCAAUAUUGCUAUCACUGUCAGUAUAUGUCACUGUAAAUAUCUCUAUCGCUGUCACUGUCAAUAUCUCUAUUGCUAUCACUGUCAAGAUCGCUAUCACAGUCAAUAUCUCUAUCGCUGUCAAUAUCUAUCGCUAUAGCUGUCAGUAUCUCUAUCGCUGUCAAUAUCUCUAUCGCUGUCACUGUCAAUAUCUCUAUCAAUUUCACUAUCACUGUCACUGUCAAUAUUGUUAUCAAUAUUGCUAUCACUGCAAACCCCCUGGGCGCACACUGGUUGAAUCAACGUUGUUUCUUCAUGAGCCUGAACCAACAUGAAAUAGACAUUAAACUGAUGUCUGUGCCCAGUGGGAACAUCCCACCUAAUCUUAUCAUAAUACCAUGUACAGUAGAGGUGUGCUGAGUAGUCGGACAAAACGAGUAUCGUAAAGGAAUAUGGGCAAUUUUCUGGAUAUGAUUAUGAUCCGAGUAUUUCUUUAAAUGAUCCGUGAUCGGGGGAAAAAAAGUAAUUUUCGGGUGCCAGAAGGCAUCUUUCUCAUGUCAGUCAGUCACACCCCUAAUAACAACUUGUUCUCAACUUGCCUACCUGGUUAAAUAAAGGUGAAAAAAUAAAUAAAAGAUGAGGUGCUACAUAGGCAAACUAGCCAGUUGAAUUAUUUAGACUGUCUGUAAAGAGAAGGGCAGGCUAUACGUUGAUUCUGCUGCUCUAAUUGGAUAGAAUGAAGCUCUAUUUCUUGGUCCACUUGCUUCAUAAUUUCACCCAAUCGCUUUCACUUCUCUGUUUCGGUCUAAUCAGUCAUAUUCCUGCUGCCCAAUGUUCCCUCUAAGCUGCACACGUGCACGGCUGUGCACCUCCUCCAGGACUGCCGCCCAGAAGAAAUUAGAGGUCGACCGAUUUAUAAUUUUUCAACACCGAUACCGAUUAUUGGAGGACCAAAAAAAGCCGAUACGGAUUAAUCGGCCUUUUUCUUUUUUUUCUUUUAUUUAUUUAUAUAUAUAUAUUUGUAAUAAUGACUAUUACAACAAUACUGAAUGAACAAUGAACACUUUUAUUUUAACUUAAUAUAAUACAUCAAUAAAAUCAAUUUUGUCUCAAAUAAAUAAUGAAACAUGUUCAAUUUGGUUUAAAUAAUGUAAAAACAAAGUGUUGGAGAAGAAAGUAAAACUGCAAUAUGUGCCAUGUAAAAAAGCUAACGUUUAAGUUCCUUGCUCAGAACAUGAGAACAUAUGAAAGCUGGUGGUUCCUUUUAACAUGAGUCUUCAAUAUUCCCAGGUAAGAAGUUUUAGGUUGUAGUUAUUAUAGGACUAUUUCUCUCUAUGCCAUUUGAAUUUCAUAUACCUUUGACUAUUGGAUGUUCUAAUAGGUACUUUAGUAUUGCCAGCCUAAUCUCGGGAGUUGAUAGGCUUGAAGUCAUAAAGAGCUGCUGGCAAGCACAGGAAAGUGCUGUUUGAAUGAAUGCUUACGAGCCUGCUGCUGCCUACCACCGCUCAGUCAGACUGCUCUAUCAAAUCAUAGACUUAAUUAUAAUAUAAUAACACAGAAAUACGAGCCUUAGGUCAUUAAUAUGGUCAAAUCCGGAAACUAUCAUUUCGAAAACAAAACGUUUAUUCUUUCAGUGAAAUAUGGAACCGUUCCGUAUUUUAUCUAACUGGUGGCAUCCCUAAGUCUAAAUAUUGCUGUUACAUUGCACAACCUUCAAUAUUAUGUCAUAAUUAUGUAACAUUUUGGCAAAUUAGUUAGCAACGAGCCAGGUGGCCCAAACUGUUGCAUAUACCCUGACUCUGCGUGCAAUGAAUGCAAGAGAAGUGACUCAAUUUCACCUGGUUAAUAUUGCCUGCUAACAUGAAUUUCUUUUAACUAAAUAUGCAGGUUAAAAAAAAUGAUACUUCUGUGUAUUGAUUUUAAGAAAGGCAUUGAUGUUUAUGGUUAGGUACAGUCGUGCAAUGAUUGUGCUUUUUCGCAAAUGCGCUUUUGUUAAAUCAUCCCCCGUUUGUCGAAGUUGGUUGUCUUUGUUAGGAAGAAAUGGUCUUCACACAGUUCGCAACGAGCCAGGCGACCCAAACUGCUGCAUAUACCCUGACUCUGUUGCACAGAACGCAAGAGAAGUGACACAAUUUCCCUAGUUAAAAGAACUUCAUGUUAGCAGGCAACUUCAUGUUAGCAGGCAAUAUUAACUAAAUAGGUUUAAAAAUAUAUACUUGUGUAUUGAGUUGAAGAAAGGUGUUGAUGUUUAUGGUUAGGUACACAUUGGUGCAACGACAGUGUUUUUUUUCCGCAAAUGCGCUUGUUAAAUCACCCGUUUGGCGAAGUAGGCUGUGAUUCAAUGAUAAAUUAACAGGCACCACAUCGAUUAUAUGCAACGCAGGACACGUUAGAUAAACUAGUAAUAUCAUCAACCAUGUGUAGUUAACUAGUGAUUAUGUUAAGAUUGAUUGUUUUUUUAUAAGAUCAAUUUAAUGCUAGCUAGCACCUUACCUUGGCUCCUUGUUGCACUCGCAUAACAGGUAGUCAGCCUGCCACCCAGUCUCCUCGUGGAGUGCAAUGUAAUCGGCCAUAAUCGGUGUCAAAAAAAUGCCGACUACCGAUUGUUAUGAAAACUUGAAAUCGGCCCUAAUUAAUCGGCCAUUCCGAUUAAUCAGUCGACCUCUAGAAGAAAUACCAGGCUGCGCAGAGAUACAAGAGAUUGAACUUCAUUGAGUUAGCCCAAUUAGUUUGCACUAUAUAGAUCGAUUUUUCUGUGAUCGAAUCAACAUUACAUCAUCCCCUUUUCAAUGCAACAAUCCAAACCAAAUGUAACUUUGCAAGAUUGAGUCUAUGAUUAUUUUUUCGUAGGCAGAGCCAGAGCGCAACGAAGUAGAAUUCUAUUGGCUGGGUAGCCCACGAGCAGUCUUUCAAUCACCUGAAAGUGAAUGUGCUUUUCAGAUCAGUUCAGAUCAGAGUACAGAGCUGCGCGUGAGCACAUUUGUUGAUAUUCUUUGCUAGUUAGCGAGUUAUUAGCCGGGUUAUAGAUGCGUAUAGGUCAGCAAUGGGGAGUUACUGCUUCCCACAAGAGCACAAUCUGUAGGCUACAUUUCAAGCUGUCUUUAAAAAGUCAGUCAGGUAAAAAGCUUAUGUCUUAAUUAAAGGGGCAGUGUUGUAUUUUGAGACCGGCUUGAAUAUGCUAAUAGGCAGAGGGGUUUCCUACAUUGUCUAAUUCUCUGUAUAGUAAUAAUAAUACAUUGUAUAUUGUAAAGUGGUUUCUUGCAUUAUAGACAAUACAAUGCAAUUUACAGUCACCUAUUUGGCCCAUGGUGUUACAGACCAAGUAAAAAAUCAUUAACUAAUGUCAAGCCCUGCAUAAUAUAAAAACGUUUUUAAAAGUCUCAUGCAAUGUAGGCCUGCAUUGAACACCACAGGCUACUGUAAACUAUAUCAUAGAAAUCCAAAGCUAUUUCCACGUGAAAAUAGCUUAUUGCCUACUGUCUAAAACUGUAAGGGUACAGCCUCACUGUUCACCUUAAACUCGCAUUCAAGUUUCCGCUCACAAGAACAAAAAUUUGCUCAGUGCCCCAAAAGAAUUGAGGGAACAUUGCUGCUGCCUCUUGUUAGCCUGCAACUAUGGUGAAUCAAAUGGCAAGGAUGUUUGCUAUCACGCUAUCAAUGUGCAUAAUAUCUAAAAAGAAGGGAAAGUUUGGGAACAAAGAUUCUGAUUGAUAGCAAACUGCCCGCUACAAUUUGAGGACACAGAGCCCUCCACGGCUCCUCAUCUGCAGCUUGUUUGGUCUGGAAACGUGCAGGGAGGGAGCUUAUUUGCCAAUAUCUACUUAGGCAUAUUAAAACAUUUCAUUUUUUUCCCGAUCACAAGUAACAUCCAAUCCAACUAUCAACUGUCUAUUUACAGAUACGAUUAUGGCCAUGUCAGCACACCCCUAAUACCACCACAAGGUCCAUAUAUCACUGCCUAAACAGGACAUCAUUUAUUAACAACACAAGCAGGGACCUUCAUCCAGUCUGUUUCCAGCUGUACCAUAUUUUAUAUAUGCCAUUUAGCAGACUUAGUCAUGCGACUUAGUCAUGCGUGCAUUUUUUUUUUUUUAUGUAUGUAUGGGAAUCGAACCCACCGUCCUGGCAUUGCAAGAGCCAUGCUCUACCAACUGAGCUACAGAGGACCACAUAUUUAGCAUUGUCUAUACAGUCUGACCUCAGCCAACCUCAUGCAAUACAUUCAUCUCUGACACAGAAGAUGUUAAGGUGAGUUUAUACAAUGUUCUACAAUGUUUAUUUGUUAGCAGGGCUACACUCUAAAGAAGGUAGACAGCUCCUGAUAAGUUUUGACAGAGGAGUCUUAUCCCUCCAGCAGAAGACCUGCCACUGUCCUCGCUACCGCUGUCCUCGCUACCGCUGUCCUCGCGACCGCUGUCCUUUCUGUUGUCUCACUUUCUCUGUUCAUCUCUCUCUCUACCCCCCCCGCCUCCAUGUCUCUCUCGUGCUUUCCCUCUUUCUCUCCUCCUUUGUCUCUCUGGCUCACUCCCUCUUUCUCCCCCCUCUCUCUAUGUCUCUCUUUCAUAUCAUAUUCAUACACAGAAGUGGGUCAUGGCGGUACAUAUUUUGGUGGAAUAUAAAUAUCAAGAAAUUUGUGUAACUACGGGAAAUGAACAGCCAGCCCACAGAGACCACUGCUGUGUUUAUCUUGGACAACCUCUCCCUCUGUGCUUACGCACUCUUUCAUUCUUUCCCUCCUUCAUCUCUCUCUCUCUCUCCACAGCAGACUGCUCCCAGCCGACAACUAUAAUUAUAAACUUUUUUUCCCACCAUGAGACUGAUGUUAUUGAUUAAUUUGUGAGACAUCUUUCGUGAGGCUAUUUUUCUCUUUCCUGCUCUCUUUCCCUCUCUCUCUCUCUCUCUCUCUCUCUCUCUCUCUCUCUCUCUCUCACUGAGGACAAUGCCAGGAAACAUUUCAGCAGAUUUCAGUGAAACUGCAGAACCCAGAACUGGCUUGGUGUCAACCUCACCCCCUGCCAUCCUUUCCACAUCCUCCCCCUCUUGUCACACACACUUGGACAGUGUACAGGGUGGCGUACCGUCAGGUGACCAGAGCCGUGCCAGUCUCACACUCUUACCCAGAAUGCUGCCCAGGUUGGCGACGACUCCACUCACACAACUGUAAUCAAGCGGUGUGUGGCCAGUCCUGUGUGAACGGAGGAACAUGUUUAAUACCCAACCACUGCGCCUGUCCUCUGGGAUGGAUGGGUCGCCACUGCCAAACAGAUGUGGAUGAGUGCCGUGAGCAGCAGCCCUGUUCUCAUCAGUGUGUGAACAUGGCAGGCAGCUACCACUGUGUGUGUAGAGAGGGCUACAGGCUGGCAGGAGACACACACUCCUGUGAGAACCUUCCUCCUCCUCCUCCUGCCUCUUCCACCCACCCCAGUCAAGAAGCAGCAAACGAUCACAUACCCCCCUCCAGUGAUACAGGUGGAGGGUUUGGGCUGACUGAGAACGUCACAGAGGAGGUCCAGAGCCUGAAGAACAGAGUAGAGCUGCUGGAACAGAAGCUCCAGUUGGUCCUGGCCCCUUUCACCAGUCUGUUCCCCAUGUCGCUGGACGAGGGCGUGUCUGAGAAAACCAGCUUCCUGUCCCACUCCUUCCAGCAGCUGGAUCGCAUCGACUCGCUCAGCGAACAGGUCGGCUUCCUCGAGGAACGCCUCGGAACAUGUUCCUGCCAAGAGAAUUAGAAACAACAGGACUGGGUCACCCUCACCAACUAGAUAUCUCCACACAAGUCUGAGUCCACAACACAAUAACAAUAGGAAUGGAAUGAAUGCCCCAGCCCAGCGAUAUGGAGGAGGAGCAAUAUUAGUAGAACAUAGGCCUACUCAGUGUUUUGUGUAUUCCUGUUCCUAUACCAGCCCAAAGGCUAACUUGAACACUAGCUCUAUGAUGGGCAACCCUGUCAUGUGCUAUAUGUCAGUGACACAUACAACCCAUUUAAGUGUCCCUUUCUCCCAACAGCAUAAUUUCAUGUCAUUGCUGUAUUACGGAGACAUAGAAGAGCAUAUAGCAUCACCACCUGUGACGGUUACAGGGGCCUCAUUCCCCCAUUAGCACAUUACCUGAGAGUCAAAGUUCAAACUGCCAAUUUCACUCUGAAGGAUCUGGUUUCCAUGUUUUAGGUUCACAUCAGUCCACUGUCAGAGCCCCCAUGGUGGGGUUUGCAUGGACAUCUGUAUUUAUGUAUUUAAGUUAGAAUUCCUUGUGCUUAUUUCAUAGAGAUACAAUAGACAGUUUACUUUUUUUUUACCUUGUUUUGUAACUUUUUGUAAUAAAAUUGAUUAAAUCAAAAAUGUCUGGUAGAAGAUUUGUGUGUGUGCUCCACGUGGAAGAACAAGAGAUCUCAUUUGAACACAUUACUCGUUGCCGAUUUCAAUUCUAUGGAGAGUUAAGAAACAGUCACACGGGGUCCAAAUCCCAUCUGCAAAGCCUGGGUCUCCACUGCUAGCAAACACACAGCAAUAAAGCACUACAACAGCUCCUUAAGAAACAAAAUGACAUUUAUUAUUUUCCAAACAAUUCAUCAAACAUGUUUAAUCAAUAUUUCUGUGAAAUCAAGAAACACAUCGAUAUUAACCAGAUACUACAAUGGGCUUAUAUGUUGUCGUGUGUGUACGUCUAGGCCACACAGACAGCUCAGCAGGAUGUCGUAAGACAGACGCCUUGGCCAGCUCAAUGGUUCAUAGUCAUCUAAAGCCAACAGAUUACACUUUAAUUGCUUUGGUGAAAUUCAUAGAAUAUUUUGAUAAGAUUUGUUCUUUUUAAAUAUAACCACACAAACUCAACAUGAAAAGUGCUUUAUUCAUAUUUAGAAUACUUUAAAUCUUUCUCCAAUAUCUUAAAUAUAAUUUUGUAAACAGCCAGAUCAACCAACCAGGCUCCCAAAGUAGUGCUGCAGAGCCUGUUGAGUUAACAUAUGACGUUUUUAGCUGACACACUAGAAAGUUAAGCUACAAAACAUCAUGAAAAUAAUCAAUAGGCUAACUAUUGACCAUGGUCUAAAAAUCAAUGACAGUAUACAUUUGGUAGCAUCUUUGAUGAACAUUCAAACCUCUAAGAUUUUUAAAAAGACACCACUGCAUUUUAAGAUAACAAAAACCAUGAAAGGCUUACUAUUGUUAAUAUAUACUUCUAUUAACAAAAAUGAAUGUCACAGAUUUAUUUGAUGUAUUCAGACUGACUGGCGUAUGUAUAUUCCGUACAUGGUGGUACUGGCCUUCAAGAACAUAAAGAUGAGGAAAGCCCGAGCCUUGAGCUGAUUUACUCCUCGGAACCAAGUAAGCCAAAAGCCCAGCAGGUGCCGGUAAAGCUACUGUAGACAAUCGACUAUGAAGAGGCCUCGUAUACAGGGUUAUUACCAGACAAAGCAUAGAUGUUUUCACUUCUACAGCAUGAGCGCCUCAACAGGGUUGGAGUUAAUCAAUUCCAUUUUUCAAUUCAGUCAAUUCAGGAAGUAAACUGAAAUUCUAAUUUCCGGUAAAAAAAAAUCUGAGAAGCACUGAGGAUAAUUGAAGUAGAUGUUUUUUUUGGAUUGACUGAAUUUAAAUUGAUUGAUCCUCAACACUGUUCCUCAGGAAGUUUGGGUGCACAACAAAGAAAAAUGCUGGAGAUAAAAUUAAGUGUACAAUUACUUUACCUUAAUUUUAAAUAAAAACAAUUAAUCAUUGACAUUUCUUUGUGUCAGAAACAGACUGUAUGCAAAACAUAAUUCCAUUGAAAUAAGUUAUACUUAAAAUUAAAAAGAUUGAAAAAUAAAGAGUUAAAUGCAAUAAGUAGUACACAAAUAAUCCUGAAAUACAUUCUCAGACCGGUGUUUUUGACAGGCAAAAAGCUGCAAGCGACUUCAUUUUAGCCAACUGUAAUGUAAAGGCAGUGAAUAUUAAAAAUGUCAAGAUCUGGAUACAAAUUAUAAUAAGAAGCUGCGUUGCCAUACAUUAAAAGUAUGUCAUUCCAGUUAUGUCUAUUAAUUACAAAAUAUAAAACCUCUCACAAGUUUACAAACUUCACAAUCCCAACUUUGAUUAUUACUACCUUGAAUACAAGGCCAAAAACAUUCAGCCAAUUCCUCGCUUCCUUUAAAAAUAGACCACGCCUUUUCCCCACAGUCAGUUCUACAUAUCAUACACCAUCCAUCGAUAAAAUCAUCAAAUUUAAUAUUCUCAGUUUUGGGUAUCAUAAUUGGUCAGAAAACCACAGUAUGUAUUGAUAGGAGAUGUCUAUGCGUGUAUCCCUCCUCUUCCCCAUUCCCCUAUAAUAGGAAAAGCACCGGUUCAUCAAGUAUAAAGCUAAGGUAACCACUGACAGCAGCCCUUCUAUACUGAAUAUAAAUGUAACAUGCAAAGUGUUGGUCCAAUGUGUCAUGAACUGAAAUAAAAUAUCCCAGAAAUGUUCCAUUGGCACAAAAAGCUUAUGUCUCUCAAAUUUUGAGCACAAAUUUGUUUACAUCCCUAUUAGUGAGCAUUUCUAAAUUGUCAUGGUAAUUUAUCCACGUGACAGGUGUGGCAUAUCAAGAAGCUAAUUAAACAGCAUGAUCAUUACACAGGCACACCUUGUGCUGGGGACAAUAAAAGGCCACUAAAAUGUGCAGUUGUCACACAACACGAUACCACAGAUGUGUCAAGUUGAGGAAACGCGCAAUUAGCAUGCUGACUGCAGGAACGUCCAACAGAGCUCUUGCCAGAGAAUUGAAUGUUAAUUUCUCUACCAUAAGCCACCUCCAAUGUCAAUUUAGAGAAUUUGGCAGUACGUACAACUGGCUCACAACUGCAGACUAUGUGUAACCACAACAGCUCAGGCCCUCCACAUCCGGCUUCCUCACCUGUGGGAUCGCAGGGGUGCUGAGGAGUAUUUCUGUCUGUAAUAAAGCCCUUUUGUGGGGAAAAACUGAUUCUGACUGACUGGGCCUUGCACCCAAGUGGGUGGGCCUAUGCCCUCCCAGGCCCAACCAUGGCCGUGCCCCUGCCCAGUCAUGUGAACGCCAUAAAUGAAUUUCCUUCUAUGAACUGUAAUUCAGUAAAAUCUUUAAAAUAGUUGCAUGUUGCACUUAUAUUUUAGUUCAGUAUAGUUAUCAUGUAACAAUAAGGAACAUUUGGCCAAGCAAAGAACGCACAAGACUUAGCUAAUAAAUGUUACUGUGGUGAAAGGAUGCAGCAAUUGUUUUAGCAUUUGAUAAUUUACUGGGGAAAAAAAUAAUUGUACAACAUAUCAGGGUAUAUGUUACUUAACUAUGGGGACUGCUAUCAUGAUGGUUACCAAAAUACAGGUUGGUGUUCAGUUUGAGGAGAAUUUGAUUCACAUUUCACCUCUUCUGAGAUGUGUUUUUGGGGUGUAGGUUGGGACAAGCAGGGUUUAUUAGUAGUUAGUAAAAACUCAACAUUAAAACAAAACUUAACAUCUGAAAUCUGAUCUCGUUUGAUGUGGUUAAGCCUCCUGAUAUCAUCACGAUACCAUCGUCUCCGCAGUGCAGCAAGGACUCCAGACUUUUCAUUGGAAACCGUAAAACCGAUCAAUCACUAACAGAGCACAGGGUUACAUUUAAAACAAUCCCCUCAUUAGAACACUUUGUACUGUACCCGUGUUACAUCUAGAUCACUUCCCAAUGUGUUACUUUUAAAGCACUAGCACACUUUUUCCAACAAAAAACAGAGUUCCUGUUGGACAAAUUCAAGUAGGCCCCUCCCUGUUUCAUUCAGUUUGCUCCAUUUGCUUUGUUUGGCUCUUAAAACGGUUUCCGUUGCAAGAUGUAAUGAAUACAUCCUAGAACUCUUGCACUUUGGAGCAGUUUAGAUUGAACAGUUGGACAUUGCACUUCAUAAAAUCGCCUUUUAUACAUCUUAAA